RNAcentral lists this unclassified non-coding RNA (362 nucleotides) under uncultured fungus. Its description in RNAcentral is "sequence contains ITS1". The stretch from base 1 to 105 matches the Rfam family "5.8S ribosomal RNA", at positions 50 to 154 of the family's 154-position model. Lineage: Eukaryota; Fungi. The record is from RNAcentral.
GAACUGCGAUACGUAAUGUGACUUGCAGAAUCUCGUGAAUCAUCAAAUCUUUGAACGCAAAUGGCGCUCCCGGGCAUCCCUGGGAGCACGCCUGUCUGAGUAUCAUUGCCCUCACCCUCUGCGGCGGCGGCUCCGUUUGCCGGCGCAGGGUAUGGCGGCCACGCCCGUCACACGGCGCGCCCGCUCAAACGCGGCUUUUUAUUAUUAUUUGGUGGGAGAGAACCCCGCCGCGCCCCCCCCCAAGCCACGCUGUAAGCAUCGCGCUCCUCGCGGCUCGGGCGCGCGCCCCCGGGGCCCAAUCUUCUCCCCCCAGAACCCAACCACAUGAUCUCAGAUCAGGCGAGAGGACCCGCUGAACUUAA